Molecule: ribosomal RNA, 499 nt
Filed under: Burkholderia sp. HPML103
Lineage: Bacteria; Pseudomonadati; Pseudomonadota; Betaproteobacteria; Burkholderiales; Burkholderiaceae
Description: bacterial SSU rRNA
Rfam family: Bacterial small subunit ribosomal RNA
Source: RNAcentral
UGUUCCGGGGGCGGAUGCCUGGGCUCAGAUUUGAANCGCUGGGCGGGCAUGCCCUUAACAUCAUGNCAAGUCCGAACCGGCAGGCACCGGGGGCCAAUCCCUGGUGGUCGAGUGGGCGAACCGGGUGAGUCAAUACAUCCGGAACGUGUCCCUGUAGUGGGGGAUAGUCCCGGCGAAAGCCGGAUUAAUACCGCAUACGCUCUAUCGGAGGAAAGGGGGGGAUCUUAGGACCUCUCCGCUAUCAGGGGCGGCCGAUGGCAGAUUAGUCUAGUUGGUGGGGUUAAGGCCUACCAAGGCGACGAUCCUGUAGCUGGUCCUGAGAGGACGACCAGCCACACUGGGACUGAGACACGGCCCAGACUCCCUACGGGAGGCAGCAGUGGGGAAUUUUGGACAAUGGGCGUCAAGCCUGAUCCAGCAAUGCCGCGUGUGUGAAGAAGGCUUUCCGGGUUGUAAAGCACUUUUGUCCGGACACACGAAAACUCUGGGUUAAUAUCCC